UUUUUUUUCAAACAUCGCCUCUUGCUAAAACAUAAGAGGUCCCGCCUGCCCCGUGACUUAGUUUAACGGCCGCGGUAUUUUAACCGUGCAAAGGUAGCAUAAUAAAUUGUUCUCUAAAUAAGGACUAGUAUGAAUGGCACCACGAAGGCUCAACUGUCUCCCCCCUCUAAUCAAUGAAACUGAUCUCCUCGUGAAGAAGCGGGGAUAAAUAUACAAGACGAAAAGACCCCAUGGAGCUUUAAACUCACUACCAAUUACCUACACUACACCAAAAGAAAAAGUAAAAAUGUCCUACGUAGUUUUUGGCUGGGGCAACCCUGGAGUAUAACAAAACCUCCAGAAUGAACGGAUUAAUAUCCUAAUAUAAGAACCACAAUUCUAAUAAUCAAUAAACUGACAUUUAUGAUCCAAAUUAUUGAUCAAUGAAACAAGUUACCCUGGGGAUAACAGCGCAAUCCAUUUCAAGAGCCCCUAUCGACAAAUGGGUUUACGACCUCGAUGUUGGAUCGGGGUACCCCAGUGGCGCAGCCGCUACCAAAGGUUCGUUUGUUCAACGAUUAAUAACCUCACGUGUUGGGUC
This 580-nucleotide ribosomal RNA is filed under the name Afrixalus cf. dorsalis YPX66920. RNAcentral describes it as "partial large subunit ribosomal RNA". It matches the Rfam family "Bacterial large subunit ribosomal RNA", at positions 1802 to 2611 of the family's 2925-position model. Lineage: Eukaryota; Metazoa; Chordata; Amphibia; Anura; Hyperoliidae. The record is from RNAcentral.